UGGUCAAGUUAUUAAGGGUGCAGGGCGGAUGCCUUGGCACUAGGAGCCGAUGAAGGACGUGAUAAGCUGCGAUAAGCUUCGGGGAGUUGCACGUAAACUUUGAUCCGAAGAUUUCCGAAUGAGGAAACUCACUUAGAGUAAUGUCUAAGUAUCAUUAAGUGAAUACAUAGCUUAAUGAGGGGAACUCAGGGAACUGAAACAUCUAAGUACCUGAAGGAAGAGAAAGAAAUUCGAUUCCGUAAGUAGCGGCGAGCGAACGCGGAUUAGCCCAAACCAAUAAAGUUUUCUUUA
This 291-nucleotide ribosomal RNA is filed under the name Clostridioides difficile. RNAcentral describes it as "partial 23S ribosomal RNA". It matches the Rfam family "Bacterial large subunit ribosomal RNA", at positions 1 to 291 of the family's 2925-position model. The record is from RNAcentral. Lineage: Bacteria; Bacillati; Bacillota; Clostridia; Peptostreptococcales; Peptostreptococcaceae.